GCUGGCGGCGUGCCUAAUACAUGCAAGUCGAACGAGUUCUCGUUGAUGAUCGGUGCUUGCACCGAGAUUCAACAUGGAACGAGUGGCGGACGGGUGAGUAACACGUGGGUAACCUGCCCUUAAGUGGGGGAUAACAUUUGGAAACAGAUGCUAAUACCGCAUAGAUCCAAGAACCGCAUGGUUCUUGGCUGAAAGAUGGCGUAAGCUAUCGCUUUUGGAUGGACCCGCGGCGUAUUAGCUAGUUGGUGAGGUAAUGGCUCACCAAGGCGAUGAUACGUAGCCGAACUGAGAGGUUGAUCGGCCACAUUGGGACUGAGACACGGCCCAAACUCCUACGGGAGGCAGCAGUAGGGAAUCUUCCACAAUGGACGCAAGUCUGAUGGAGCAACGCCGCGUGAGUGAAGAAGGCUUUCGGGUCGUAAAACUCUGUUGUUGGAGAAGAAUGGUCGGCAGAGUAACUGUUGUCGGCGUGACGGUAUCCAACCAGAAAGCCACGGCUAACUACGUGCCAGCAGCCGCGGUAAUACGUAGGUGGCAAGCGUUAUCCGGAUUUAUUGGGCGUAAAGCGAGCGCAGGCGGUUUUUUAAGUCUGAUGUGAAAGCCCUCGGCUUAACCGAGGAAGCGCAUCGGAAACUGGGAAACUUGAGUGCAGAAGAGGACAGUGGAACUCCAUGUGUAGCGGUGAAAUGCGUAGAUAUAUGGAAGAACACCAGUGGCGAAGGCGGCUGUCUGGUCUGUAACUGACGCUGAGGCUCGAAAGCAUGGGUAGCGAACAGGAUUAGAUACCCUGGUAGUCCAUGCCGUAAACGAUGAAUGCUAGGUGUUGGAGGGUUUCCGCCCUUCAGUGCCGCAGCUAACGCAUUAAGCAUUCCGCCUGGGGAGUACGACCGCAAGGUUGAAACUCAAAGGAAUUGACGGGGGCCCGCACAAGCGGUGGAGCAUGUGGUUUAAUUUGAAGCAACGCGAAGAACCUUACCAGGUCUUGACAUCUUUUGAUCACCUGAGAGAUCAGGUUUCCCCUUCGGGGGCAAAAUGACAGGUGGUGCAUGGUUGUCGUCAGCUCGUGUCGUGAGAUGUUGGGUUAAGUCCCGCAACGAGCGCAACCCUUAUGACUAGUUGCCAGCAUUUAGUUGGGCACUCUAGUAAGACUGCCGGUGACAAACCGGAGGAAGGUGGGGAUGACGUCAAAUCAUCAUGCCCCUUAUGACCUGGGCUACACACGUGCUACAAUGGAUGGUACAACGAGUUGCGAGACCGCGAGGUCAAGCUAAUCUCUUAAAGCCAUUCUCAGUUCGGACUGUAGGCUGCAACUCGCCUACACGAAGUCGGAAUCGCUAGUAAUCGCGGAUCAGCACGCCGCGGUGAAUACGUUCCCGGGCCUUGUACACACCGCCCGUCACACCAUGAGAGUUUGUAACACCCGAAGCCGGUGGCGUAACCCUUUUAGGGAGCGAGCCGU
This 1459-nucleotide ribosomal RNA is filed under the name Lacticaseibacillus casei. RNAcentral's name for it is "Lactobacillus casei 16S ribosomal RNA". It matches the Rfam family "Bacterial small subunit ribosomal RNA". Lineage: Bacteria; Bacillati; Bacillota; Bacilli; Lactobacillales; Lactobacillaceae. The record is from RNAcentral.